AGAGUUUGAUCCUGGCUCAGAACGAACGUUGGCGGCGUGGAUUAGGCAUGCAAGUCGAACGGGGUGGGGGCAACUCCACCUAGUGGCGAACGGGUGAGUAGCGCGUGGGAAACCUGCCCUCGAGACGGGGAUAACACUUCCAACGAGGUGCUAAUACCGGAUAAGACCACGGGAUCGCAUGGUCCUGGGGUCAAAGAUGGCCUCUGCUUGCAAGCUAUCACUUGAGGAUGGUCCCGCGUCCCAUUAGCUUGUUGGCGGGGUAAAAGCCCACCAAGGCGACGAUGGGUAGCUGGUCUGAGAGGAUGGUCAGCCACACUGGGACUGAGAUACGGCCCAGACUCCUACGGGAGGCAGCAGUCGAGAGGCUUCGUCAAUGGGGGAAACCCUGAACGAGCGACGCCGCGUGGGCGAUGAAGGCCUUCGGGUUGUAAAGCCCUGUCGUGCGGGACGAAGGAUCCAGCGGCAAACAGUCGCGGGAUCUUGACGGUACCGCAGAAGGAAGCUCCGGCUAACUCCGUGCCAGCAGCCGCGGUAAUACGGGGGGGAGCGAACGUUGUUCGGAAUCACUGGGCGUAAAGGGCGCGCAGGCGGCCUUGUAAGUGGGAUGUGAAAGCCCCUGGCUCAACCAGGGAAAUGCGUCCCAUACUGCUGGGCUUGAGUGCAGGAGAGGAUGGGGGAAUUCCCGGUGUAGCGGUGAAAUGCAUUGAUAUCGGGAGGACACCAGUGGCGAAGGCGCCCAUCUGGCCUGUUACUGACGCUGAGGCGCGAAAGCCGGGGGAGCAAACAGGAUUAGAUACCCUGGUAGUCCCGGCUGUAAACGGUGGCACUAGGUGUGGGGGCAUCGACCCCUCCCGUGCCGCAGUAACGCAUUAAGUCCCCCGCCUGGGGAGUACGACCGCAAGGUUGAAACUCAAAGGAAUUGACGGGGGCCCGCACAAGCGGUGGAGCAUGUGGUUUAAUUCGAUGCAACGCGAAGAACCUUACCUAGGCUUGACAUGCGCCGGACAGGUGUGGAAACACACCCCUCCUUCGGGGCCGGUGCACAGGUGCUGCAUGGCUGUCGUCAGCUCGUGUCGUGAGAUGUUGGGUUAAGUCCCGCAACGAGCGCAACCCUUGUCCCUAGUUGCUAACAUUCAGUUGAGCACUCUAGGGAGACUGCCGUCGAUAGGACGGAGGAAGGUGGGGAUGACGUCAAGUCCUCAUGGUCCUUACGCCUAGGGCUACACACGUGCUACAAUGGCCGGUACAAAGGGUUGCAAGACCGCGAGGUGGAGCCAAUCCCAAAAAACCGGUCUCAGUUCGGAUUGCAGUCUGCAACUCGACUGCAUGAAGUCGGAAUCGCUAGUAAUCGCUGAUCAGCAGGCAGCGGUGAAUAUGUUCCCGGGCCUUGUACACACCGCCCGUCAAGCCACGAAAGCUGGUAGUACCCGAAGUCGCUGUCCUAACCGCAAGGAGGGAGGCGCCUAAGGUAAGGCUGGUGAUUGGGGCUAAGUCGUAACAAGGUAGCCGUACCGGAAGGUGCGGCUGGAUCACCUCCUU
Molecule: ribosomal RNA, 1539 nt
Filed under: uncultured bacterium mle1-16
Lineage: Bacteria
Description: bacterial SSU rRNA
Rfam family: Bacterial small subunit ribosomal RNA
Source: RNAcentral